GUCUGCAGGCAUAUCACUCUAAAUACACCUGAUCUCAUUUGAUCUCAGAAGCUAAGCAGGGUCAGGUCUGGUUAGUACUUGGGUGGGAGAAACACUCUCUAAACUAUGCUUCCUACUUUCG
Molecule: ribosomal RNA, 121 nt
Organism: Gorilla gorilla gorilla (western lowland gorilla)
Lineage: Eukaryota; Metazoa; Chordata; Mammalia; Primates; Hominidae
Source: Rfam